This 954-nucleotide long non-coding RNA is filed under the name Fukomys damarensis (Damara mole-rat). RNAcentral describes it as "lncRNA (ENSFDAG00000027000.1)". The record is from RNAcentral. Lineage: Eukaryota; Metazoa; Chordata; Mammalia; Rodentia; Bathyergidae.
GCCUUUCACCUGGUCCCAAUCUGGAAGGAAGCCUUGAGCUCUGCAGCUGCCCCGCACACCUGUCCCACACACCUGCCAGACUGGGGAGCCACGGGUGUGGAGCAGACCCAGAGCAGGAUGUGUGUGCAGGGAGGUGAAUGGGCCUCCGGCUGCCCAGACUCGGUGGGGACUCAGCUGCCAUGACACAUGCACACCAGCUCCCCCACCCCCACUCUGUGUGCUUCAGGGAUCCUGACGUCAGAGGAUGCCGGAGUUCUGGGCUUCACUUGAAUUCAGGAGACAAAGGAGAAAGCAGCCAGGAGAGUGAAGGGGCAGAAUCCCGGCCACGCACGCUCUGCCAGGCUGUGACGGUGCUGACGUCCCACACCUGGGCAUGCGUUGUGCUCUCGGCCUGGGGAACAGGACUGCUCCGAAGCCACAGGCCCUGGAGGAGACCGCGGGCUCGGGUGAGGACGCUGUGCUGUGUCCGCCCCGGCAUGAGCACCGGUCAGAAGGGGCCAGGCGCAGCCCUGGCAUGCACCCACGUGACAGGCGGUUGGCCGGCAGCAUCCACACGCAGACUCUCCACGGCACAGACGCUGCUGUUGCCUCAUCACCACAUCACCUCCGAGGAAACCGAGGCACAGGGGCAGCCAGCCGCCUGCUCCCGACAGUGGCAUGAGGCCAGUGGGAAGGUCCUGAGGCCAGGUCACUCGGGAGGUGACAAGGGGAAGACGGCACCCGGGCAGCACAGGCCUGAGCUUGAGGGGAGCCGGGACCCCGAGCAGCCUCUGAUCAGCUUAGAGUUUGCGCACCAGCCGGCCUGACCAUGUCACCAUGAGUCCACGCUGCUGCCUGAAGGGUAGAGGUGGCUGGGGAGCCACAGAAGCCCGCGUCGUGACCCGGAAGCCCUGGAGUACCACAUCUGUCUCAGUGCCAACUUGCCCACAGUUGAUUAAAAAGCAAAAUCACCCG